Molecule: unclassified non-coding RNA, 214 nt
Filed under: Hevea brasiliensis (rubber tree)
Lineage: Eukaryota; Viridiplantae; Streptophyta; Magnoliopsida; Malpighiales; Euphorbiaceae
Source: RNAcentral
AAAGAGGAAUUAAGGCAGAAGAAUCUUUUCAGUGUUAGUGAUUGCAAAAUGUACUGGCAAAGCAAUGGGGACUAUCUUGCUGUAAAGGUUGAUCGUUAUACAAAAUCAAAGAGGACUACAUACACAGGCUUUGAGCUUUUCAGAAUAAAAGAGCGGGACAUACCCAUUGAGGUAUUGGAGCUUGACAAUAAGAAUGACAAGAUCAUUGCCUUUG